AUCGCUUCUCUGCCUGUUGGCUAAGAUCAAGUGUAGUAACUGUUCUUAUCAGUUUAAUACAUUCAACCACUGUACGUCUUUUGAUUAAAGAACUUAAUCCAUUUACAUUGAAAGUAAUUACUGGUAGAUAUGUGCUUACUGCCAUUUUGUUCAUUGUCUUCUGACAGUUUUAUAGUUCCUUCC
Artibeus jamaicensis (Jamaican fruit-eating bat) is the source of this 183-nucleotide small nuclear RNA. RefSeq annotates it as U2 spliceosomal RNA. NCBI's taxonomy places the organism in Eukaryota, Metazoa, Chordata, Mammalia, Chiroptera, Phyllostomidae. The transcript has a single exon. The record is from RefSeq and is a predicted model, not a curated record.